Molecule: ribosomal RNA, 557 nt
Filed under: uncultured bacterium
Lineage: Bacteria
Description: partial 16S ribosomal RNA
Rfam family: Bacterial small subunit ribosomal RNA
Source: RNAcentral
UAGGGAAUCUUCCACAAUGGACGCAAGUCUGAUGGAGCAACGCCGCGUGAGUGAAGAAGGUUUUCGGACCGUAAAGCUCUGUUGUUGGUGAAGAAGGAUAGAGGUAGUAACUGGCCUUUAUUUGACGGUAAUCAACCAGAAAGUCACGGCUAACUACGUGCCAGCAGCCGCGGUAAUCGUAGGUGGCAAGCGUUGUCCGGAUUUAUUGGGCGUAAAGCGAGCGCAGGCGGAAGAAUAAGUCUGAUGUGAAAGCCCUCGGCUUAACCGAGGAAUUGCAUCGGAAACUGUUUUUCUUGAGUGCAGAAGAGGAGAGUAGAACUCCAUGUGUAGCGGUGGAAUGCGUAGAUAUAUGGAAGAAUACCGGUGGCGAAGGCGGCUCUCUGGUCUGCAACUGACGCUGAGGCUCGAAAGCAUGGGUAGCGAACAGGAUUAGAUACCCUGGUAGUCCAUGCCGUAAACGAUGAGUGCUAAGUGUUGGGAGGCUUCCGCCUCUCAGUGCUGCAGCUAACGCAUUAAGCACUCCGCCUGGGGGAGUACGACCGCAAGGUUGAAACUCU